This 472-nucleotide ribosomal RNA is filed under the name uncultured bacterium. RNAcentral describes it as "partial 16S ribosomal RNA". It matches the Rfam family "Bacterial small subunit ribosomal RNA", at positions 28 to 507 of the family's 1533-position model. The record is from RNAcentral.
GACGAACGCUGGCGGCGUGCUUAACACAUGCAAGUCGAACGCUUAAGCUUGGUUCUUGCCCUGGGUGGAUGAGUGGCGAACGGGUGAGUAAUACGUGAGUAACCUGCCCUUGACUCUGGGAUAAGCCUGGGAAACUGGGUCUCAUACUGGAUAUGACAUGCCACUUCAUGGUUGUUUGUGGAACGGGUUUUCCUGGUUUUGGAUGGGCUCACGGCCUAUCAGCUUGUUGGUGGGGUACUGGCCUACCAAGGCGAAGCAGGGUAGCCGGCCUGAGAGGGUGAACGGCCACAAGGGGACUGAGAGACGGACCAGACUCCUACGGGAGGCAGCAGGGGGGAAUAUUGAACAAUGGGCGGAAGCCUGAUGCAGCGACGCCGCGUGAGGGAUGAAGGCCUUCGGGUUGUAAACCUCUUUCAGCACGGAAGAAGCGAGAGUGACGGUACGUGCAGAAGAAGCGCCGGCUAACUACGUG